This 664-nucleotide ribosomal RNA is filed under the name Vibrio sp. CCH-40. RNAcentral's name for it is "bacterial SSU rRNA". It matches the Rfam family "Bacterial small subunit ribosomal RNA", at positions 52 to 695 of the family's 1533-position model. The record is from RNAcentral. Lineage: Bacteria; Pseudomonadati; Pseudomonadota; Gammaproteobacteria; Vibrionales; Vibrionaceae.
CACAUGCAAGUCGAGCGGAAACGACACUAACAAUCCUUCGGGUGCGUUAAUGGGCGUCGAGCGGCGGACGGGUGAGUAAUGCCUAGGAAAUUGCCUUGAUGUGGGGGAUAACCAUUGGAAACGAUGGCUAAUACCGCAUAAUGCCUACGGGCCAAAGAGGGGGACCUUCGGGCCUCUCGCGUCAAGAUAUGCCUAGGUGGGAUUAGCUAGUUGGUGAGGUAAUGGCUCACCAAGGCGACGAUCCCUAGCUGGUCUGAGAGGAUGAUCAGCCACACUGGAACUGAGACACGGUCCAGACUCCUACGGGAGGCAGCAGUGGGGAAUAUUGCACAAUGGGCGAAAGCCUGAUGCAGCCAUGCCGCGUGUAUGAAGAAGGCCUUCGGGUUGUAAAGUACUUUCAGUUGUGAGGAAGGGGGUAGCGUUAAUAGCGCUAUCUCUUGACGUUAGCAACAGAAGAAGCACCGGCUAACUCCGUGCCAGCAGCCGCGGUAAUACGGAGGGUGCGAGCGUUAAUCGGAAUUACUGGGCGUAAAGCGCAUGCAGGUGGUUCAUUAAGUCAGAUGUGAAAGCCCGGGGCUCAACCUCGGAACUGCAUUUGAAACUGGUGAACUAGAGUACUGUAGAGGGGGGUAGAAUUUCAGGUGUAGCGGUGAAAUGCGUAGAG